CUAGACGUGUUUGAUCAUGGCUCAGGAUGAACGCUGGCGGCGUGCCUAAUACAUGCAAGUCGAACGAGGUGCUUUUGUAGCAAUACGAGAGUAUCCUAGUGACGAACGGGUGAGUAACGCGUGGAUGACCUGCCCCAAAGUGUGGGAUAACAGUCCGAAAGGAUUGCUAAUACCUCAUGUGGUUAUCGGUUUUAGAAAGCGAUAACUAAAGCAGCAAUGCGUCUUUGGGAGGGAUCUGCGUCCCAUCAGCUAGUUGGUGAGGUAACGGCUCACCAAGGCGACGACGGGUAGGGGACCUGAGAGGGUCGGCCCCCCACAAUGGAACUGAAACACGGUCCAUACACCUACGGGUGGCAGCAGUAGGGAAUAUUGCUCAAUGGGCGAAAGCCUGAAGCAGCAACGCCGCGUGUGCGAUGAAGGCCUUCGGGUCGUAAAGCACUUUUCUAAGAGAUGAGAAAGGACAGUAUCUUAGGAAUAAGUCUCGGCUAACUACGUG
RNAcentral lists this ribosomal RNA (496 nucleotides) under uncultured bacterium. RNAcentral's name for it is "bacterial SSU rRNA". It matches the Rfam family "Bacterial small subunit ribosomal RNA", at positions 1 to 507 of the family's 1533-position model. The record is from RNAcentral.